RNAcentral lists this ribosomal RNA (304 nucleotides) under uncultured Desulfobulbus sp. RNAcentral describes it as "bacterial SSU rRNA". It matches the Rfam family "Bacterial small subunit ribosomal RNA", at positions 1077 to 1382 of the family's 1533-position model. Lineage: Bacteria; Pseudomonadati; Thermodesulfobacteriota; Desulfobulbia; Desulfobulbales; Desulfobulbaceae. The record is from RNAcentral.
GGGUUAAGUCCGCAACGAGCGCAACCCUUGCCUUUAGUUGCCAGCAGUUCGGCUGGGCACUCUAAAGGGACUGCCGGUGUUAAACCGGAGGAAGGUGGGGAUGACGUCAAGUCCUCAUGGCCUUUAUGACCAGGGCUACACACGUACUACAAUGGCCGAUACAAAGGGCAGCGACACUGCGAGGUGAAGCCAAUCCCGUAAAAUCGGUCUCAGUCCGGAUUGGAGUCUGCAACUCGACUCCAUGAAGUUGGAAUCGCUAGUAAUCGUGGAUCAGCAUGCCACGGUGAAUACGUUCCCGGGCCUU